RNAcentral lists this ribosomal RNA (497 nucleotides) under uncultured bacterium. RNAcentral's name for it is "partial 16S ribosomal RNA". It matches the Rfam family "Bacterial small subunit ribosomal RNA", at positions 28 to 507 of the family's 1533-position model. The record is from RNAcentral.
GAUGAACGCUGGCGGCGUGCCUAAUACAUGCAAGUCGAGCGAACAGACUAGGAGCUUGCUCCUCUGACGUUAGCGGCGGACGGGUUAGUAACACGUGGAUAACCUACCUAUAAGACUGGGAUAACUUCGGGAAACCGGAGCUAAUACCGGAUAAUAUAUUGAACCGCAUGGUUCAAUAGUAAAAGACGGUUUUGCUGUCACUUAUAGAUGGAUCCGCGCCGCAUUAGCUAGUUGGUAAGGUAACGGCUUACCAAGGCAACGAUGCGUAGCCGACCUGAGAGGGUGAUCGGCCACACUGGAACUGAGACACGGUCCAGACUCCUACGGGAGGCAGCAGUAGGGAAUCUUCCGCAAUGGGCGAAAGCCUGACGGAGCAACGCCGCGUGAGUGAUGAAGGUAUUCGGAUCGUAAAACUCUGUUAUUAGGGAAGAACAAAUGUGUAAGUAACUAUGCACGUCUUGACGGUACCUAAUCAGAAAGCCACGGCUAACUACGUG